UACGUAGGGUGCGAGCGUUGUCCGGAAUUACUGGGCGUAAAGAGCUCGUAGGCGGUUUGUCGCGUCGUCCGUGAAACUUGGGCUCAACCCAGCUUGCGGGCGAUACGGGCAGACUUGAGUACUGCAGGGGAGACUGGAAUUCCUGGUGUAGCGGUGAAAUGCGCGAUAUCAGGAGGAACACCGAUGGCGAAGGCAGGUCUCUGGGCCGAUACUGACGCUGAGGAGCGAAAGCGUGGGGAGCGAACAGG
RNAcentral lists this ribosomal RNA (248 nucleotides) under uncultured bacterium. Its description in RNAcentral is "partial 16S ribosomal RNA". It matches the Rfam family "Bacterial small subunit ribosomal RNA", at positions 524 to 776 of the family's 1533-position model. The record is from RNAcentral.